Long non-coding RNA from Cercocebus atys (sooty mangabey), 1168 nucleotides. RefSeq lists it as uncharacterized. NCBI's taxonomy places the organism in Eukaryota, Metazoa, Chordata, Mammalia, Primates, Cercopithecidae. The transcript is spliced from 2 exons. The record is from RefSeq and is a predicted model, not a curated record.
AAAAACAAAAUAGAAGAUAUGGUUUCCCACCUAAAAAACUGAGUUUACAUUAUUAACAAAAGACAGCAUAGAAAAUACCGGUUCAUUCUAACCAAAAGAAAACAGGUCAUGUUUCCAACAUAAGCAAGUGAAAUCACCAAGUACCGUUUCCUCAACGUCGUCCUAUGGUACGAAACCAACUUAUUAGAUGCCCACCGUGUGUGAAGGGUCCCACACCCAACACAGGAAAAGUACAGACCUUCAAGUCUGUAAACUGGCAGUAGGCAUCCAGAAGAACGGUGCUUAAAUGCUACAGAAAUAUAAGCUUGUUGACUUCCACACAAUAAAAUGACCUUCUAACUAAGAUGGAAGCAAGGACUGGUGAGGCUUACACAUUUUUUUCUCCCCAGCACGAUGGACAUCUCAUACCAUGAAUAUUGACAAGUCCAGGCAUUAAAUUCUUGACCAAAGCAAGAUCGUUAUGAGGAAUGAUUUAAGAGUGCACGGUCAUUGUUUAUGCUGACUGCGCUCUUUGCACAGUUAGGAAUUGAACUGUUGAAUUAAUGCAUAGAUGACUCAUUUCAAGAUGCUGUUAAGACUGAACACCCUGCAGAGGUUGAAGAGAGCAGGGAUGAGAGCAGAAUACCAUCAGGGAACAAAGGUAAAGGGGAGAGAACAUGAAAUGGGCACCGAGCUUUCUACCCACGCAAAAGGAACAGCAGAAACAUGUGAAGCCCCCAGGAAAAGAGCAAAGCCAAGCUAUUUGGUCUUAGACAUACACCAUUUCAGAAACCUACCUAAUGAUAAUUUCAUAUUCAAUGAUCUUUAAAUUUUUAAAAGAAUAUAGUAUCUCAGAAUGCAGGGAGACAAUUUAUGUCAUUACUUCUCUCCCUUGACUUUAGCCUUGCAGUGCUGAGCCAAGGCUAAUUACGCAAGUCAAGGUAUAGAGAUCGCUGUCCCUAGGGGUGGUGAAGGGAGAUGUCGAUGCUACUAUUAUCCGACCUUUUCGUUUUCCAUUUGUAUGGAAUUCGUGAAGCUGACGUGUGUGUAUUAGGGUCAUGUGGAAGGUCCUAUUCUUGUUAUAAAGAAGAAGAGAGCCUUCCACAUGACCGUUCUUAGGAAUGAAAUAUCUGAAAUUGAGAGAGAAAAUGGCAUGCCUUAAAAAUACUUCCACAUCAUUUCAACCGGG